This 226-nucleotide ribosomal RNA is filed under the name uncultured bacterium. Its description in RNAcentral is "partial 16S ribosomal RNA". It matches the Rfam family "Bacterial small subunit ribosomal RNA", at positions 109 to 334 of the family's 1533-position model. The record is from RNAcentral.
CGUAACACGUGAGCAACCUACCGAACUGUGGGGGAGUAGCCGGCCUAACGGCCGAGUAAUACCGCAUACGCUCUCAGAGAGGCAUUUCUUUGGGAGGAAACCUACGGGACAGAUCGAGGGGCUCGCGGCCUAUCAGCUAGUUGGCGAGGUAACGGCUCACCAAGGCAACGACGGGUAGCUGGUCUGAGAGGAUGGCCAGCCACAUUGGGACUGAGACACGGUCCAG